CUUGCUUUUGAUUCGUUAGCGGCGGACGGGUGAGUAACACGUGGGCAACCUGCCCUGUAGACGGGGAUAACUCCGAGAAAUCGGUGCUAAUACCGGAUAACACGAAGUGUCGCAUGACGUUUCGUUGAAAGACGGCUCCAGCUGUCGCUACUGGAUGGGCCCGCGGCGCAUUAGCUAGUUGGUGAGGUAACGGCUCACCAAGGCGACGAUGCGUAGCCGACCUGAGAGGGUGAUCGGCCACACUGGGACUGAGACACGGCCCAGACUCCUACGGGAGGCAGCAGUAGGGAAUCUUCCGCAAUGGGACGAAAGUCUGACGGAGCAACGCCCCGUGAGCUGAAGAAGGCCUUCGGGUCGUAAAGCUCUGUUGUUUAGGGAAGAACAAGUAGCUCAUUAACUGGCGUUACCCCUGACAGUACCUAACAAGAAAGCCACGGCUAACUACAUGCCACCACCCGCGCGUAAUACCUAUGUGGGAAGCGUUGUCUGGAAUUAUUGGGCGUAAAGCGCGCGCACGCGGUUCCUUAUGUCUGAUGUGAAAGCCCACGGCUCACCCCUGGAGAGUCAUUGUGAAACUGGGGGACAUGAGUGCACAAAAGAAGAGCGGAAUUUUCCGUGUAGCGGUGAAAUGCGUAUAGAUGUGGAGGAACACCAGUGGCGAAAGCGGCUCUUUGGUCUGUGAACUGACACUGAGGCGCGAAAGCGUGUGGAGCAAACAGGAUUAGAUACCCUGGUAGUCCCCGCCCUAAACGAUAAGUGCGAUAUGUUAGAGAGGUAUCCCACCCUUUAGUGCUGUAACUAACGCAUUUAUGCACCUCCGCCUGGGGGAGUACGCUCGCAAAAGUGUAAACUCACAGGAGUUUGACGGGGGGGCCCCCACAAACGGUGGGAGCAUGUGGGUUUUAUUUUCAACAACGCGAAGAACCUUUCCAGGUCUUGACAUCCCCCUGACAACCCCAUAGAUCGGGGGUUUCCCCCUUUCGGGAGGAAAGGGUGACAAGUGGUGCAUGGUUGUCNCCACCUCGUGUCGAGAGAUUUUGGGUUUACUCC
Molecule: ribosomal RNA, 1050 nt
Filed under: Anoxybacillus flavithermus
Lineage: Bacteria; Bacillati; Bacillota; Bacilli; Caryophanales; Anoxybacillaceae
Description: bacterial SSU rRNA
Rfam family: Bacterial small subunit ribosomal RNA
Source: RNAcentral